GACGAACGCUGGCGGCGUGCUUAACACAUGCAAGUCGAACGGAAAGGCCUCUUUCGGGGGGUACUCGAGUGGCGAACGGGUGAGUAACACGUGAGUAACCUGCCCUUGACUUUGGGAUAACUUCAGGAAACUGGGGCUAAUACCGGAUAGGAGCUCCUGCUGCAUGGUGGGGGUUGGAAAGUUUCGGCGGUUGGGGAUGGACUCGCGGCGUAUCAGCUUGUUGGUGGGGUAGUGGCUUACCAAGGCUUUGACGGGUAGCCGGCCUGAGAGGGUGACCGGCCACAUUGGGACUGAGAUAAGGCCCAGACUCCUACGGGAGGCAGCAGUGGGGAAUAUUGCACCAUGGGUGGAAGCCUGAUGCAGCAACGCCGUGUGCGGGAUGACGGCCUUCGGGUUGUAAACCGCUUUCGCUCAUGACGAAGCUUUGUGUGACGGUAGUGGGUAAAGAAGCACCGGCUAACUACGUG
This 467-nucleotide ribosomal RNA is filed under the name uncultured bacterium. Its description in RNAcentral is "partial 16S ribosomal RNA". It matches the Rfam family "Bacterial small subunit ribosomal RNA", at positions 28 to 507 of the family's 1533-position model. The record is from RNAcentral.